UGCCUGUACCAUAACCGACACAGGUGGGUAAGUAGAGUAUACUAAGGGGCGCGAGAUAACUCUCUCUAAGGAACUCGGCAAAAUAACUCCGUAACUUCGGGAGAAGGAGUGCCUUAUUCUUAGGGUUGCAAUAACAAGAUCCAAGCAACUGUUUAUCAAAAACACAGGUCUCCGCUAAGUCGUAAGACGAUGUAUGGGGGCUGACGCCUGCCCAGUGCCAGAAGGUUAAAGAAGUCGGUUAGCAAUAGCAAAGCUGGUAACUGAAGCCCUGGUGAACGGCGGCCGUAACAAUAACGGUCCUAAGGUAGCGAAAUUCCUUGUCGGGUAAGUUCCGACCCGCACGAAAGGCGUAAUGAUUUGGAUGCUGUCUCGGAGAGGGGCUCGGUGAAAUAGACUUGUCUGUGAAGAUGCGGACUACCUGCACCAGGACAGAAAGACCCUAUGAAGCUUUACUGUAACUUGAAAUUGAAAUUGGACUUUAUUCGCGCAGUAUAGGUGGGAGGCGUUGAUUAUAAUCUUUGGGAUUAUUGGAGCCAUCAGUGAGAUACCACUCUUGUAAUGUUAGAUUUCUAACUUUGAAUCAUUAUCUGGUCAAAGGACAGUUUCAGGCGGGCAGUUUGACUGGGGCGGUCGCCUCCUAAACGGUAACGGAGGCGUACAAAGGUUUCCUCUGAACGGUUAGAAAUCGUAUCUAGAGUGUAAAGGCAUAAGGAAGCUUGACUGUGAGACCUACAAGUCGAGCAGGGACGAAAGUCGGUCUUAGUGAUCUGACGGUACUGAGUGGAAAGGCCGUCACUCAACGGAUAAAAGUUACUCUAGGAUAACAGGCUGAUCUCCCCCAAGAGUUCACAUCGACGGGGAGGUUUGGCACCUUGAUGUCGGCUCAUCGCAUCCUGGGGCGGUAGUACGUCCCAAGGGUUGGGCUGUUCGCCCAUGAAAGCGGUACGCGAGCUGGGUUCAGAACGUCGUGAGACAGUUCGGUCCAUAUCCGGUGUAGGCGCUAGAAUAUUGAGAGGAGCCUUCUUUAGUACGAGAGGACCGAGAAGGACAUACCUCUGGUGUACCAGUUAUCGUGCCAACGGUAAACGCUGGGUAGCUAUGUAUGGAGUGGAUAACCGCUGAAAGCAUCUAAGUGGGAAGCCCACCUCAAGAUAAGUAUUCUCAUCACGUAAGUGAGUAAGGUCACGGUAAGGCUAACCGUUUGAUAGGCAUUAAGUGUAAGUACAGUAAUGUAUGUGCUGAGAUGUCCUAAUAGACCGAGGAC
This 1264-nucleotide ribosomal RNA is filed under the name metagenome. Its description in RNAcentral is "bacterial LSU rRNA". It matches the Rfam family "Bacterial large subunit ribosomal RNA", at positions 1639 to 2925 of the family's 2925-position model. The record is from RNAcentral.